GCGCGAUUAGCUCAGCGGGAGAGCGCGUUCCCUGGACACGGAAGAGGUCACUGGUUCAAUCCCAGUAUCGCGCA
Molecule: transfer RNA, 74 nt
Filed under: Streptomyces sp. LamerLS-31b
Lineage: Bacteria; Bacillati; Actinomycetota; Actinomycetes; Kitasatosporales; Streptomycetaceae
Description: tRNA_Pseudo_Pseudo
Rfam family: tRNA
About the family: Transfer RNA (tRNA) molecules are approximately 80 nucleotides in length. Their secondary structure includes four short double-helical elements and three loops (D, anti-codon, and T loops).
Source: RNAcentral